CCUUAUGCACUUCUUCCCAGAGCCCCUGGCAACCAUCAUUCUGCUCUGUUUCCACGAAGUCUAUUUUAGGUACCUCAUCUGGGUGAAAGUCUGCAGUAUCUAUCCAGUAAGAGGCUGAUUCUAUCCAACUGAGUGUCCUCGUGGGUGCACUUUGAAGUCUGUGUCUAUAGAGAGAUAGCUUGUAUUCUCUCUGGUCUUGAAGCCGACUUUCACAGGGACAGCACUUGGGCCCCAGCCUGGAUUUCUGCUGCAGCAUUCUCUCGCAAUUUGGAGUCUGGGCCACGGGGAAAUUGCAGACAAUUUGGAUGAAAACGGUUGGAAAAUUGCAGUGUUUAGGCCUCUCCCACCAGCCCCUUCAGGUUUUUUUUUCUUACUUUCUUUCUUAUUUCUUUUUCUUUCCCUUCACACCCUCCUCCCGCCCCCAGAAUUACUUUAGAAGCAGGGAACAACCGACUAGACUGGCUGGAUUCUCUUUUCCCAGUCUGUGGCGUAUUUUGUAAACAAACAUGUAAAUGGAUACAGAAUUUAACCACCCCCAGACAAAGGGGCUGACUAGAGAAGGGAAAGCAGUCAGCCUCCUUGUGAGAAGGCAGUCACUGGAGGGCCGGGGAAUAUUUGUCCUAGUUAAUUGAAUUUCUGAUUUGAGAUAUGAGUUUACUGGCAGACCUUUACUCUCUUGCAGAUUGUUCUAAAAUGAACCCACUUACCUAUCUCCAUGGUUAAUUAAUUAUUUAAAAUUUUCAAACCCUGUUUAAUUCUAAGAAAGAAUUUGAGGAAACUGCCUUAUUAAUAGUAGAUUAAUGACACCUUUUCAUUGGUCAUUGAGAUUCAUGGCCACGGUGCUGGAGGUAUUUAUCAUUGCUCUGCACGAUGAAUGGGAAGGCGUAGCAUAGAGGAUGCAGAUUACACAGAUCGUCAGUUAUCAGAGGCAUCAGCUGUCCCUAUCUGCGGGCUCACUCACUAGUCUCUCUUCUACAGUGGUCAGUUGAGUUUCUUUGAUCUUCAUUUAAGAGCUCCACCAUAAGCAGUACAUUUUAUCUGUAAACAGACCUAAUUACUGUAAGUUUCUCCCGUGAUACUGGGCUAAAAUUCAUUUCCCCAUAGUCACUCAUUCUAAUUCAUGAUUUACUGAGUGGACAAAGAAGGGGUGCCUUGUGGGAGUGGGCAGGAGGAGGAUGCCAUGCUUCUUGAGGUCUGUGUUGAACAGAGACUUGGUGAUGAUAGGGUAGGGUGGAGUGAGUUAGCCUUGGAUUGAAUUGAGCUCUGAAGCUUAGAGAUAAACGUUGACAGAUUGGCGACUGAGGUCAGCCUAAGAUUAGCCUUACAUUGGGCGUAUGCUACAUUUUGUUGUUACUGUGACAAAUGCCAGAAAAAAUUACCACCAACAACAAAAAACCUUACAGUUAAGAAAAGAUUUAUUUUGCCUCAUGGCAAAGUACAAAUGUUAACAUUGCAGGGCAUGGCUAAGUGCACUGCUCAGUUCAUGGUGCUCAGGAAGGAGGGUGGGGUAGCCCAGGAACUUGAUGAAACCCCAACCAGGCCCCAUGGUAUGAUAGAUUCAUAGCGUGAAUCUAUCAAGGAACUUACUCAUUGAUUAGGUCAGAGACCCCAGAACUUGGAUCCACCACCUGAGGACCAAACCUUCAGCACACAAGCUUUAUGGGGAAAUACUUCAUAUCAAAGCCAUCAUGGAGAAGCAACGAGUUUGAAGAGGCCAGGAAAGCCCACAGAAGUCUGGCUCAAGAAUGAAGCUGAAAGGUGGCUGUGAUGAAUGGGACAUGACAGAAAGAAAAGCAGAAGAACUUGGUGUCAUGACAAGGAUACUUUGAGAAGGAAGGAAAGGUGCCAGAAAAAGAGCUCAGUCACUAUGCACACUGUAUCAUCUGUGAAGACAUUCACAUAGGCACGGGGAUACAUGUGGGCUGUGCAAUCCCAGGCCAGGGGAGGUGAAGACAGGAGGAAUCCUGGGGCUUGCUGGCAAGCUUUAGGACAAUGAGAAACUCUGUCUAAAGUAAAUAAAUAAAUAAAUAAAUAAAUAAAUAAAUAA
Non-coding RNA from Rattus norvegicus (Norway rat), 2047 nucleotides. The record is from RefSeq and is a predicted model, not a curated record. NCBI's taxonomy places the organism in Eukaryota, Metazoa, Chordata, Mammalia, Rodentia, Muridae.